RNAcentral lists this ribosomal RNA (125 nucleotides) under Colletotrichum graminicola. RNAcentral describes it as "partial small subunit ribosomal RNA". It matches the Rfam family "Eukaryotic small subunit ribosomal RNA", at positions 1657 to 1779 of the family's 1831-position model. The record is from RNAcentral. Lineage: Eukaryota; Fungi; Ascomycota; Sordariomycetes; Glomerellales; Glomerellaceae.
CCUUUGUACACACCGCCCGUCGCUACUACCGAUUGAAUGGCUCAGUGAGGCUUUCGGACUGGCCCAGAGAGGUGGGCAACUACCACUCAGGGCCGGAAAGUUAUCCAAACUCGGUCAUUUAGAGG